RNAcentral lists this ribosomal RNA (2925 nucleotides) under Escherichia coli. Its description in RNAcentral is "23S ribosomal RNA". It matches the Rfam family "Bacterial large subunit ribosomal RNA". Lineage: Bacteria; Pseudomonadati; Pseudomonadota; Gammaproteobacteria; Enterobacterales; Enterobacteriaceae. The record is from RNAcentral.
GGGUUGUGAGGUUAAGCGACUAAGCGUACACGGUGGAUGCCCUGGCAGUCAGAGGCGAUGAAGGACGUGCUAAUCUGCGAUAAGCGUCGGUGAGGUGAUAUGAACCGUUAUAACCGGCGAUUUCCGAAUGGGGAAACCCAGUGUGAUUCGUCACACUAUCAUUAACUGAAUCCAUAGGUUAAUGAGGCGAACCGGGGGAACUGAAACAUCUAAGUACCCCGAGGAAAAGAAAUCAACCGAGAUUCCCCCAGUAGCGGCGAGCGAACGGGGAGGAGCCCAGAGCCUGAAUCAGUGUGUGUGUUAGUGGAAGUGUCUGGAAAGGCGCGCGAUACAGGGUGACAGCCCCGUACACAAAAAUGCACAUAUUGUGAGCUCGAUGAGUAGGGCGGGACACGUGGUAUCCUGUCUGAAUAUGGGGGGACCAUCCUCCAAGGCUAAAUACUCCUGACUGACCGAUAGUGAACCAGUACCGUGAGGGAAAGGCGAAAAGAACCCCGGCGAGGGGAGUGAAAAAGAACCUGAAACCGUGUACGUACAAGCAGUGGGAGCCUCUUAAUGGGGUGACUGCGUACCUUUUGUAUAAUGGGUCAGCGACUUAUAUUCUGUAGCAAGGUUAACCGAAUAGGGGAGCCGAAGGGAAACCGAGUCUUAACUGGGCGUUAAGUUGCAGGGUAUAGACCCGAAACCCGGUGAUCUAGCCAUGGGCAGGUUGAAGGUUGGGUAACACUAACUGGAGGACCGAACCGACUAAUGUUGAAAAAUUAGCGGAUGACUUGUGGCUGGGGGUGAAAGGCCAAUCAAACCGGGAGAUAGCUGGUUCUCCCCGAAAGCUAUUUAGGUAGCGCCUCGUGAAUUCAUCUCCGGGGGUAGAGCACUGUUUCGGCAAGGGGGUCAUCCCGACUUACCAACCCGAUGCAAACUGCGAAUACCGGAGAAUGUUAUCACGGGAGACACACGGCGGGUGCUAACGUCCGUCGUGAAGAGGGAAACAACCCAGACCGCCAGCUAAGGUCCCAAAGUCAUGGUUAAGUGGGAAACGAUGUGGGAAGGCCCAGACAGCCAGGAUGUUGGCUUAGAAGCAGCCAUCAUUUAAAGAAAGCGUAAUAGCUCACUGGUCGAGUCGGCCUGCGCGGAAGAUGUAACGGGGCUAAACCAUGCACCGAAGCUGCGGCAGCGACACUAUGUGUUGUUGGGUAGGGGAGCGUUCUGUAAGCCUGUGAAGGUGUACUGUGAGGUAUGCUGGAGGUAUCAGAAGUGCGAAUGCUGACAUAAGUAACGAUAAAGCGGGUGAAAAGCCCGCUCGCCGGAAGACCAAGGGUUCCUGUCCAACGUUAAUCGGGGCAGGGUGAGUCGACCCCUAAGGCGAGGCCGAAAGGCGUAGUCGAUGGGAAACAGGUUAAUAUUCCUGUACUUGGUGUUACUGCGAAGGGGGGACGGAGAAGGCUAUGUUGGCCGGGCGACGGUUGUCCCGGUUUAAGCGUGUAGGCUGGUUUUCCAGGCAAAUCCGGAAAAUCAAGGCUGAGGCGUGAUGACGAGGCACUACGGUGCUGAAGCGACAAAUGCCCUGCUUCCAGGAAAAGCCUCUAAGCAUCAGGUAACAUCAAAUCGUACCCCAAACCGACACAGGUGGUCAGGUAGAGAAUACCAAGGCGCUUGAGAGAACUCGGGUGAAGGAACUAGGCAAAAUGGUGCCGUAACUUCGGGAGAAGGCACGCUGAUAUGUAGGUGAAGCGACUUGCUCGUGGAGCUGAAAUCAGUCGAAGAUACCAGCUGGCUGCAACUGUUUAUUAAAAACACAGCACUGUGCAAACACGAAAGUGGACGUAUACGGUGUGACGCCUGCCCGGUGCCGGAAGGUUAAUUGAUGGGGUUAGCGGUAACGCGAGGCUCUUGAUCGAAGCCCCGGUAAACGGCGGCCGUAACUAUAACGGUCCUAAGGUAGCGAAAUUCCUUGUCGGGUAAGUUCCGACCUGCACGAAUGGCGUAAUGAUGGCCAGGCUGUCUCCACCCGAGACUCAGUGAAAUUGAACUCGCUGUGAAGAUGCAGUGUACCCGCGGCAAGACGGAAAGACCCCGUGAACCUUUACUAUAGCUUGACACUGAACAUUGAGCCUUGAUGUGUAGGAUAGGUGGGAGGCUUUGAAGUGUGGACGCCAGUCUGCAUGGAGCCGACCUUGAAAUACCACCCUUUAAUGUUUGAUGUUCUAACGUGGGCCCCUUACCGGGGUUGCGGACAGUGUCUGGUGGGUAGUUUGACUGGGGCGGUCUCCUCCUAAAGAGUAACGGAGGAGCACGAAGGUUGGCUAAUCCUGGUCGGACAUCAGGAGGUUAGUGCAAUGGCAUAAGCCAGCUUGACUGCGAGCGUGACGGCGCGAGCAGGUGCGAAAGCAGGUCAUAGUGAUCCGGUGGUUCUGAAUGGAAGGGCCAUCGCUCAACGGAUAAAAGGUACUCCGGGGAUAACAGGCUGAUACCGCCCAAGAGUUCAUAUCGACGGCGGUGUUUGGCACCUCGAUGUCGGCUCAUCACAUCCUGGGGCUGAAGUAGGUCCCAAGGGUAUGGCUGUUCGCCAUUUAAAGUGGUACGCGAGCUGGGUUUAGAACGUCGUGAGACAGUUCGGUCCCUAUCUGCCGUGGGCGCUGGAGAACUGAGGGGGGCUGCUCCUAGUACGAGAGGACCGGAGUGGACGCAUCACUGGUGUUCGGGUUGUCAUGCCAAUGGCACUGCCCGGUAGCUAAAUGCGGAAGAGAUAAGUGCUGAAAGCAUCUAAGCACGAAACUUGCCCCGAGAUGAGUUCUCCCUGACUCCUUGAGAGUCCUGAAGGAACGUUGAAGACGACGACGUUGAUAGGCCGGGUGUGUAAGCGCAGCGAUGCGUUGAGCUAACCGGUACUAAUGAACCGUGAGGCUUAACCUUACAACGCCGAAG